GUAGCGGGUCUGAGAGGAUGAUCCGCCACACUGGAACUGAGACACGGUCCAGACUCCUACGGGAGGCAGCAGUGGGGAAUUUUGGACAAUGGGGGCAACCCUGAUCCAGCCAUGCCGCGUGAGUGAAGAAGGCCUUCGGGUUGUAAAGCUCUUUCGGCCGGGAAGAAAUCGCACAGGCUAAUACCCUGUGUGGAUGACGGUACCGGAAUAAGAAGCACCGGCUAACUACGUGCCAGCAGCCGCGGUAAUACGUAGGGUGCGAGCGUUAAUCGGAAUUACUGGGCGUAAAGCGUGCGCAGGCGGUUUAGUAAGACAGGCGUGAAAUCCCCGGGCUCAACCUGGGAACUGCGCUUGUGACUGCUAAGCUAGAGUACGGCAGAGGGGGGUGGAAUUCCACGUGUAGCAGUGAAAUGCGUAGAGAUGUGGAGGAACACCGAUGGCGAAGGCAGCCCCCUGGGCCGAUACUGACGCUCAUGCACGAAAGCGUGGGUAGCAAACAGGAUUAGAUACCCUGGUAGUCCACGCCCUAAACGAUGUCAACUAGGUGUUGGGAGGGUAAUACCUUUUAGUACCGGAGCUAACGCGUGAAGUUGACCGCCUGUGGA
Molecule: ribosomal RNA, 605 nt
Filed under: Dechloromonas sp. S4
Lineage: Bacteria; Pseudomonadati; Pseudomonadota; Betaproteobacteria; Rhodocyclales; Azonexaceae
Description: bacterial SSU rRNA
Rfam family: Bacterial small subunit ribosomal RNA
Source: RNAcentral